UUUCUCAUUAGCCGCGUUAACAUGAAUGCGACAGUGGCGCAUCGCAUCGCAUGGAAAUGCGCUUGGAAAUGCGAUGCGCCACGGUCGCAUUCAUGUAAACUGGGCUCAUGAGUUCCACCUCCAAAGCCUAUAAUCAUCCCGGGUCAGCCUACGCGCUGCGAGAUGAAGGCUUUUUUCAAGACCGGCGAACGCUGCGUGCAGAAGCUGGCCAUCGCGACAGAAGGUUUACGCUGCUCGAAGCGCGGUGGCGCGUUGCUAUCAGCUGCGCCGAUGAGCCCCAAGCAAGUGGAACUGCUGAGGACGAGGACAGCGACGAUGAAGCUACACCAUUCACACGCCGUACGAAGCGAUUCAAGAAACGGAAGCGGCUAUUGAAGGUUCUGGCUCCAAAACAGCAGGCCCCCUUUCGACCGCCAUGCCGCGAGCCCUUCACCAGCCUUGCGGGACUAUGCAUCGUUCCGCCAACGGCGCUUGCGCUACUAUGACAGCAUCCACCACAAGUUCCACAUCAGUGAGUCAGCAGCGCGAGGCUGUGUUUACCGGCGUGCAGACUGCAAUGCUGCACGUGCAGCUUCCAAGAAUGCAGAGUGGCCCCCUGGGAACAACUCGACACAGCAAUCACUUGCACCUGCUGGUUUUGACUUCCAGUUUCGGUGCCAGGUGCCUGAAUACGAGCGUGCUGCCACAAAGGCAGCCAGCAAAUCAAAGAUGGCAAGGCUGCCAAGGUGAAGUCCAGCACCACCAGGAAUGCAACAGGAACGUGCGAGAGCUCCGUGGCAACUAAGGCACUGAAGAAUCCAAGCCAGCAGAGCGCCUACUGUGGCAAAGUCAGCACUGGCUACACUGUCCCUGCAAAGUUAGUGGAUGUCCUGGGGAGACGGAUGUCUUGCACAUUCCAGCUGGCGUUCCCAACGUGCCUUCGCACAGACGAAGAAUCCCUCUUCAUUUAAACACUGUCUGAUAAUUGGGAAGCCUUUCACCCGCAUACCAACGUGCUGUGGCUUUGUUACUUGCUGACGAAGUUCCAGAAUUUCCCAAGGAAAAGCAGGUCGCGGAGGUCUUGGGCCGUCCGCUUCUCACGACCAACUAGCCGCCUGCAUGGACGUGAUCCUGUCUUUUCUGUUGGCCGAGCAGCUUGUGGUCGAACAGGUCCUUCCACACUUCGAAUGCGACGCCAAGGCAUCGUAUAUAAUUAUAAUUUGUUUGGAAGAUUGCAUGCCACAAUUUCAACUUGGCAACUUUUACUUUCUUAAAUUGUUUCGUCGAAUACAGAUAUUCAUCUAUUCACUUUUAUGUUAAUUUUAUGUUUUAAUUAUGUAUUGCGAUUUUAUUUAUUCAUGGAAUAAAGAUAACAUGGAUGC
Dermacentor andersoni is the source of this 1361-nucleotide RNA transcript. RefSeq lists it as uncharacterized. The record is from RefSeq and is a predicted model, not a curated record. NCBI's taxonomy places the organism in Eukaryota, Metazoa, Arthropoda, Arachnida, Ixodida, Ixodidae.